GACGAACGCUGGCGGCGUGCCUAAUACAUGCCAGUAGAACGCUGAAGAGAGGAGCUUGCUCUUCUUGGAUGAGUUGCGAACGGGUGAGUAACGCGUAGGUAACCUGCCUUGUAGCGGGGGAUAACUAUUGGAAACGAUAGCUAAUACCGCAUAACAAUGGAUGACACAUGUCAUUUAUUUGAAAGGGGCAAUUGCUCCACUACAAGAUGGACCUGCGUUGUAUUAGCUAGUAGGUGAGGUAAUGGCUCACCUAGGCGACGAUACAUAGCCGACCUGAGAGGGUGAUCGGCCACACUGGGACUGAGACACGGCCCAGACUCCUACGGGAGGCAGCAGUAGGGAAUCUUCGGCAAUGGGGGCAACCCUGACCGAGCAACGCCGCGUGAGGGAAGAAGGUUUUCGGAUCGUAAAGCUCUGUUGUAAGUCAAGAACGGGUGUGAGAGUGGAAAGUUCACACUGUGACGGUAGCUUACCAGAAAGGGACGGCUAACUACGUG
RNAcentral lists this ribosomal RNA (497 nucleotides) under uncultured bacterium. Its description in RNAcentral is "partial 16S ribosomal RNA". It matches the Rfam family "Bacterial small subunit ribosomal RNA", at positions 28 to 507 of the family's 1533-position model. The record is from RNAcentral.